Molecule: small RNA, 615 nt
Filed under: Rhipidolestes amamiensis amamiensis
Lineage: Eukaryota; Metazoa; Arthropoda; Insecta; Odonata; Megapodagrionidae
Description: eukaryotic LSU rRNA
Rfam family: 5.8S ribosomal RNA (bases 180-334)
Source: RNAcentral
AGGAUCAUUACUGAUGAGAGAAAACUUGAGCUGGUGGUCUCCGAACGGGCACCGGGUCCUCUUCCGGUUUUCAAAGUCUUGCGCCCGAUUCGAGCGGAACGAUGGAAGGGAUAAAAUUCCCGGUCGGUCUCCUCCGGAGAAACGAUUUUUUCCAGAGACGAAAUCGAAAAAUAGAAAUAAAUCCUAAACGGUGGAUCACUCGGCUCGUGGAUCGAUGAAGGACGCAGCAAACUGCGCGUCGAAUUGUGAACUGCAGGACACAUGAACAUCGACGCUUCGAACGCACAUUGCAGCCCACGGAUUCUGUUCCCGGGCUACGCCUGGCUGAGGGCCGGCAAGCGAGUUCGCCCACCACAUAUUCAUUUAUAUGGUGCCGGUAUGCUGGGGCGAGGGACUCCCGCCUGACGGGAAGUCGCCGCCCUGAUGAUCGAGGGCGCCCGGGGAGGACGGGUGGGACCCGCCGCCGUCUUCGUCGACGCGACGCUUUCGAGUUCUCUCGAGACGGCGUCCCGCGAUCGACGGGGACGAGGCCGCGUCCGCCGUCGCCCUCCUCCCCCUCGCCUUGUUUCAGACGCCGACCUCAGAGCAGGUGAGACCACCCGCUGAAUUUAAGCA